This 389-nucleotide long non-coding RNA is filed under the name Panax ginseng (ginseng). Its description in RNAcentral is "long non-coding RNA (PGIN_LNC004907)". Lineage: Eukaryota; Viridiplantae; Streptophyta; Magnoliopsida; Apiales; Araliaceae. The record is from RNAcentral.
UUUCGCUCACUAGCUUCAAAUCAUGCUUGAAACUGAUUGUUUUGUUAAUAAUACUAUGAACCCUUUUUAAAAUAUCCUCACAAAUCAUCACCCAGAUUUCAAUAAUGAUAAUUUGUUGUUACAAGCAAUUGAUUCUUCAUCUUCCGGCACCGGCGUUCACACUCGACCCAUCGCAGUUGCAUUCUCCCUUCUUCCCUCCCAAAUCUAGCUUCUCUUCGCUCUUUAAUGUUCCAUUUGACAAUAGGUUCGAUUUGGAUUGUGAACCAAUUUCUUAACAAAUUCGAAUUCCCAUUAUGGUUCUGAUUUUGCUGCUACCCAUUUUCUACCAAUUUAUGAUAACAUAGAAAACUCAAUUGGAGGUGGGUUUAGUCCAAUUGGGUACAAUGGAU